UACGUAGGGUGCGAGCGUUGUCCGGAAUUACUGGGCGUAAAGAGCUCGUAGGCGGUUUGUCGCGUCUGCUGUGAAAAUCCAGGGCUUAACCCUGGACCUGCAGUGGGUACGGGCAGACUAGAGUGCGGUAGGGGAGAUCGGAAUUCCUGGUGUAGCGGUGAAAUGCGCAGAUAUCAGGAGGAACACCGGUGGCGAAGGCGGAUCUCUGGGCCGUAACUGACGCUGAGGAGCGAAAGCAUGGGGAGCGAACAGG
This 253-nucleotide ribosomal RNA is filed under the name uncultured bacterium. RNAcentral's name for it is "partial 16S ribosomal RNA". It matches the Rfam family "Bacterial small subunit ribosomal RNA", at positions 524 to 776 of the family's 1533-position model. The record is from RNAcentral.